GUUUCCGUAGGUGAACCUGCUGCUGGAUCAUUACUUGUAUGUGAUGUUCAUAUUUGAAAUUUCACAUCUUUUGAUGUGUAACGGCUGUCGCUGGUGUCUAUGUGUUGCUGAUUCAGUUGUGAACGUCCGUGACUGAAUAUGAGGUGACAUGUUAGGAUCUUUUUUAAGAUCGUAAGACUUAAUGAGCCAUUUAUUUGGACGCCAGCACUCUUUUUUUCAUUAAAAUUUUUUAAAAAACGAAAAAUUCUAGCCUUACCGGUGGAUCACUCGGCUCGUGGAUCGAUGAAGAACGCAGCAAACUGCGAUAAUUUGUGCGAACUGCAGAAACCUUGAGCAUAAAAGUUUUGAACGUGAAUUUCGUCAUUGGGGUCAAACCCUUUGACACGUCUGGUUCAGGGUCAUUUUUAUAAAACAUUAUUAUAUUGUUUUUGCUUUAUAAUAUUUAUUUAUUUCGAUUCGAUUUUAUAUGUGUAAUGUAAAUCGGAUCAGAUCGUUUAUAUAUUGACCUGAACUCAGUCGAGAUCACCCGCUGAACUUAAGCAUAU
Molecule: ribosomal RNA, 545 nt
Filed under: Meloidogyne marylandi
Lineage: Eukaryota; Metazoa; Nematoda; Chromadorea; Rhabditida; Meloidogynidae
Description: eukaryotic LSU rRNA
Rfam family: 5.8S ribosomal RNA (bases 248-401)
Source: RNAcentral